Molecule: ribosomal RNA, 253 nt
Filed under: uncultured bacterium
Lineage: Bacteria
Description: partial 16S ribosomal RNA
Rfam family: Bacterial small subunit ribosomal RNA
Source: RNAcentral
UACGUAGGUGGCAAGCGUUAUCCGGAUUUACUGGGUGUAAAGGGAGCGUAGACGGCAGCGCAAGCCUGAUGUGAAAGCCCGGGGCUCAACCCCGGGACUGCAUUGGGAACUGCCCUGCUGGAGUGCCGGAGGGGCAGGCGGAAUUCCUAGUGUAGCGGUGAAAUGCGUAGAUAUUAGGAGGAACACCAGUGGCGAAGGCGGCCUGCUGGACGGUGACUGACGCUGAGGCUCGAAAGCGUGGGGAGCAAACAGG